Molecule: antisense RNA, 75 nt
Filed under: Streptomyces sp. 3213.3
Lineage: Bacteria; Bacillati; Actinomycetota; Actinomycetes; Kitasatosporales; Streptomycetaceae
Description: ASpks TB sRNA
Rfam family: ASpks TB sRNA
Source: Rfam by way of RNAcentral
CUUGACCGAGCCCAGCCACAGCGGCCGGUCUUCGGGCCGGUCCUGCCCGUAGGUGGCGAGCAGUGCCUGCGCCUC